UACGUAGGGUGCGAGCGUUGUCCGGAUUUAUUGGGCGUAAAGAGCUCGUAGGCGGCUUUGUCAGUCGGGUGUGAAACCUCCAGGCUCAACCUGGAGCCGCCACCCGAUACUGCAAUAGCUAGAGUCCGGUAGGGGAGCAUGGAACUCCUGGUGUAGCGGUGAAAUGCGCAGAUAUCAGGAAGAACACCAGUGGCGAAGGCGGUGCUCUGGGCCGGAACUGACGCUGAGGAGCGAAAGCGUGGGGAGCAAACAGG
RNAcentral lists this ribosomal RNA (254 nucleotides) under uncultured bacterium. Its description in RNAcentral is "partial 16S ribosomal RNA". It matches the Rfam family "Bacterial small subunit ribosomal RNA", at positions 524 to 776 of the family's 1533-position model. The record is from RNAcentral.